RNAcentral lists this long non-coding RNA (1275 nucleotides) under Gallus gallus (chicken). RNAcentral's name for it is "long non-coding RNA NONGGAT003272". The record is from RNAcentral. Lineage: Eukaryota; Metazoa; Chordata; Aves; Galliformes; Phasianidae.
AGCUGUCCUCCAGGCACUGGGGUGCUCAGGACACCAACCUCCUGCCCACGCGGCCCCACAGUGCCCUAUCCCCACUCAGCCAGCCAGGCACACAGAGGCUGCAGGAGCAGCGCCCAAUGUCAUCCCACGGCCGCCUGCCCCACCUCUGGCCAUCACAGGGCAGAGAAGAAAGCCCCACAGCAGGGAGCAGAGGGGGAACCCCGUCUGAAACCCACCCCUGGGCACCCGGUGGGCCCAUGGGCUGCGGCCAGUAGCAAUAAAGAGCAGUGGAUGGGAUGCAUCUGCAUAGUCGGGGUAGAGACGGGGUCGGUUUUGCCUUCAGCAUCCCUCUUCUGUACGUAGGGACACCUUGUCCUUCACUACCUCCAUCCUUCCAUCCACUCAUCCUCCCAUCUACUCAUCUACUCAUCCUCCUAUCCAUCUGUCCGUCCGUCCACCCAUCCAUCCAUCCCCACUGCUUGCUGCCCAUGCAGGUUAUGGGGCUGGCCCCCACACCCCCCCAAUUGGCACAUGCAGGGAAGGACCAAACCCCGAUGUGGAUGCAGGGGGACACAGGGCUGGGAUUUUCCCAUCAUGCACCCAGGGUCUGACUGCAGCAUCCCUUAUCCUGAGCCCCAAAGGGGUGAAUACCCACACAGGACAUCCCCCAUCCCACGUGCUCGCAGUGCAGGAGCCGGGACUCCAUGUCUCUGGGACUCCUUGUCCCUGCCUCAGCACAUCAGAACUCGACAGUUCAUUUACUUAAAUCACACUUUACGGGGCCCUGAUUUACUGCUGCGGUGGAUUGCAGCUGCUCUGCACUGGUCCGACCUCCCAGGACGUGUUUGUUUGGGGUUUGUUUUCCAUGGGGGAAGGGGAGUGAUACUACGAAGGCGGCGUGGCGCUGGGAGGGUGGGGGAGGCACCAACAAAUGGAUUUGGGAAUCCCACAGUGCAAAAAGAGAGGCAUCUCAGAGCAAAGCCCAUCAGCGGGAUAAGGUUCAGCUGGGACGCACUGCGGGGUGCUGAGCUCAGCCCCUCCCACCCCACGGGUACCCACCCGCACUGCCGGUCCCAUAAGCACCAGCACCCCUUCAGCCUCAGCGCUGCCCUGCUCAGAGCAGGUAAGCAGACCCCCAUAGGCUUCGCUUUUCCUUCGUGGAGCAUCCCUGUCCCUACCUGUGCGUCUCCAGACCCGCUGCAUCCCAGGUUUGUUGGGGUCCCACCCCAUUUCCUCCUUGCACACCGGGCAGUGGUGAUGGGAGCUGAGUUGGGGGUCGGGUUGGGAAGGAAUGGC